UGUGGUCCUGUGUUUGCUUAUCUCUGG
This 27-nucleotide non-coding RNA is filed under the name Rattus norvegicus (Norway rat). The record is from RNAcentral. Lineage: Eukaryota; Metazoa; Chordata; Mammalia; Rodentia; Muridae.